RNAcentral lists this ribosomal RNA (364 nucleotides) under Forcipula clavata. RNAcentral describes it as "partial 28S ribosomal RNA". It matches the Rfam family "Eukaryotic large subunit ribosomal RNA", at positions 257 to 634 of the family's 3401-position model. Lineage: Eukaryota; Metazoa; Arthropoda; Insecta; Dermaptera; Labiduridae. The record is from RNAcentral.
CUAUAGAGUCGGGUUGCUUGUAAAUGCAGCUCUAAGUGGGUGGUAAACUCUAUCUAAAGCUAAAUAUAACCACGAGACCGAUAGCGAACAAGUACCAUGAGGGAAAGUUGAAAAGAACUUUGAAGAGAGAGUUCAAGAGUACGUGAAACCGUUUAGGGGUAAACGGGAGAAAUCUGAAUAUCUGAAGGAAGUGAUUCACGUAAAAUCUAUAUUGUAUUAUAUUUUAGAUUGAUGAUUAUUAUACUCCUUCCAUAUAACUUGUUAUAUGUGAAGGGUUUCNNUUAAUUUCACAAUUCUAAAAUAUAUAUAUUUAUAAUGNNNNNNNCCGCAUUUCUACCUUCCUUAUACAAAAACGUCGCGACCC